Arachis stenosperma is the source of this 809-nucleotide long non-coding RNA. RefSeq lists it as uncharacterized. The record is from RefSeq and is a predicted model, not a curated record. Lineage: Eukaryota; Viridiplantae; Streptophyta; Magnoliopsida; Fabales; Fabaceae. The transcript is spliced from 2 exons.
GUGCCUCUCUCUCACCCACUUCACUCUCACACACGAGCCACUCUCUCACAGUUGUCUCACUCAAUCUCUCUCUAACACCUCCCACCUCCUCCAUCUUCCUUCAAACUGCGUCGCCGGCGUCCUAAAUCAAAGUCCCUCACCUUCUUCUGUCUCUGCCAACGCUCACCAUCCUCCGUCGCUGCCAUUGCUAACCUUCUUCCAUCACUGCCGCCGCUCACUCUUCCUCUCACUAUUUUGCUCAUUGCUUACUGCUAGCUUCACCACUGCCUCCACCUCUGCUUCGCAACGAAGCCUCAGAUCUGCGACGUUGAUGACAAGCUUCCUCCAGCAACGCCUCUGCUCCACACGAUGCCGAUGACGCCUCUCCCACCACAACUCUAGGUCGCCUCUGCUCAACGACGAUGAUGACGACUAUGCUCUGUCUCUGUGGCUGGCCCCCUUACAAUAAGUUGGAUGUUUCUGUUAAUUGAUUAAAUUGGUUUUAACAUAACAGUUGAUUGGAGUGUUGUUCCAGAUCCUGAUGCUGUCCUAAGGUGCCUUGCUAGAUCUGUGUCUCCUUUCUAUUUAAUGUCUUCCUCCGAUGUAGGAUUCAAACAAAUCGAAAUCUACCAUCACCACCAUUACAUCUUGAAAAAAGGGUUGAGGAUUCUAUAGUGUGAUGAAUUAUGUUUUGUAGUUUAUAAAUAUGUAUGAUACUUUUAUGGAUAUGUUUGAUAUUAAAUGUUUGUUGUUUUAAUGUUUUUGGAGACUAUGGACAUAAUAUUUGUAAUGACAACAUAAGAAUAUUUAAUUUUUUAUGUCUUUUUCAA